RNAcentral lists this unclassified non-coding RNA (224 nucleotides) under uncultured Gammaproteobacteria bacterium. Its description in RNAcentral is "contains 16S-23S intergenic spacer region". The record is from RNAcentral. Lineage: Bacteria; Pseudomonadati; Pseudomonadota; Gammaproteobacteria.
UCCGGUUUGUCACCGGCAGUCCCAUUAGAGUGCUCAACUGAAUGUAGCAACUAAUGGCAAGGGUUGCGCUCGUUGCGGGGCUUAACCCAACAUCUCACGACACGAGCUGACGACAGCCAUGCAGCACCUGUGUUCAGGCUCCCUUUCGGGCACUCCCCCGUUUCUGGAGGAUUCCUGACAUGUCAAGGGUAGGUAAGGUGGGGAUGACGUACCUUACAGCGUAC